GCCCGCCGCCCGCCGCCCGCGCCCCCGCUCCGCCCCGCGGCGCCGCCGGACCCGCACCAUGUCGCUGUCGCGCACGGAGGAGAUGCACCGGCUCACGGAGAACGUGUACAAGACCAUCAUGGAGCAGUUCAACCCCAGUCUCCGGAACUUCAUUGCCAUGGGGAAGAACUAUGAGAAGGCCCUGGCAGGUGUGACCUACGCGGCCAAAGGCUAUUUUGACGCCCUCGUGAAGAUGGGUGAACUAGCCAGCGAGAGCCAGGGCUCCAAGGAACUCGGAGACGUUCUCUUUCAGAUGGCGGAAGUCCACCGGCAGAUUCAGAAUCAGCUGGAAGAGAUGCUCAAGUCGUUCCACAAUGAGCUGCUUACACAGCUGGAGCAGAAGGUGGAGCUGGACUCCAGGUACCUGAGUGCCGCGUUGAAGAAAUACCAGACGGAGCAAAGGAGCAAGGGUGAUGCGCUGGACAAGUGCCAGGCCGAGCUGAAGAAACUCCGCAAGAAGAGCCAGGGGAGCAAGAACCCGCAGAAGUACUCGGACAAGGAGUUGCAGUACAUCGACGCCAUCAGCAACAAGCAGGGCGAGCUGGAGAACUACGUGUCGGACGGCUACAAGACGGCCCUGACCGAGGAGAGGAGGAGGUUCUGCUUCCUGGUGGAGAAGCAGUGCGCCGUGGCCAAGAACUCGGCCGCCUACCACUCCAAGGGCAAGGAGCUGCUGGCACAGAAACUGCCACUAUGGCAGCAGGCCUGCGCCGACCCCAACAAGAUCCCAGACCGCGCGGUGCAGCUGAUGCAGCAGAUGGCCAGCAGUAACGGCUCCGUCCUCCCCAGCGCCCUGUCGGCUUCCAAGUCCAGCCUGGUCAUCUCAGACCCCAUCCCGGGGGCCAAGCCCCUGCCGGUGCCCCCUGAGCUGGCCCCGUUUGUGGGGCGGCUGUCUGCCCAGGAGAGCACGCCCGUCAUGAAUGGCGUCUCGGGCCCAGAUGGCGAAGACUACAGCCCCUGGGCCGACCGCAAGGCCGCCCAGCCCAAGACCUCGUCUCCUCCACAGUCACAGAGCAAGCUGAGCGACUCCUACUCCAACACGCUCCCCGUGCGCAAAAGCGUGGCUCCGAAGAACAGCUACGCAGCCACUGAGAACAAGACCCUGCCGCGCUCCAGCUCCAUGGCGGCUGGCCUGGAGCGCAACGGCCGCAUGCGAGUGAAAGCCAUCUUCUCCCACGCGGCCGGGGACAACAGCACCCUGCUGAGCUUCAAGGAGGGAGACCUCAUCACCCUGCUGGUGCCUGAGGCCCGGGACGGCUGGCACUACGGCGAGAGCGAGAAGACCAAAAUGCGGGGUUGGUUUCCCUUCUCCUACACCCGGGUUCUGGACGGCGACGGCGGCGACAGAUUGCACAUGAGCCUGCAGCAGGGAAAGAGCAGCAGCACGGGGAACCUCCUGGACAAGGAGGACCUGGCCCUCCCGCCCCCCGACUACGGCACGUCAUCCCGUGCGUUCCCUGCCCAGACGGCCGGUACCUUCAAGCAGAGGCCCUACAGCGUGGCUGUGCCUGCCUUCUCCCAGGGUCUAGAUGACUACGGAGCACGGGCUGUGAGCAGCGCCGAAGUGGAAGUGGCCAGAUUCUGAGCCGCCCCUCACUAGACUUAAGCACCGCCGUGAUGUGCUCCUCCCCACGGGCAGUGACUGCUUCAACAGUCCUGGACUCUCUUCUCUCACCACAUCUGAGCUGCAGCGUGAGAAACUUCUGGAGAAUUCUGGAGACAAAUGCUCUUGACACUUGGGGACGGGGCGGAUGGAAAUGCCUUCCCUGCCUCUAGAUUCCUUCUUCCAAGAGACCUUAGGAGGCCUACGCCUGCCACCCCCGCUGCCCCUUGGCCCCAGGGCUCUGGACGGAGCCCAGCCUCUGCCCCAGCCCGCCCCCCAGGCACAGGGCUGCAGCCCCCCGUGGGAGCCGGGGCAUCCCCCACAGACUGGGCCUGGCCCAGGAGUCACCCGGGGUGGGUGUCAGGGCCCCCGGGGAGUUUGAGGCACCCCUGCCUGCUCUGCCAAGGUGCCCCCUGGGUGUGGCCCUGAGGGGCGGGACACAGUGGACUCCACCCCGGGAGGGUGGGCGUCCCGGAGGCACAGGGACCAGUCAGGCCCCAGAGGAGAAAGUUGAGGAUGAAGUGGAAAUCUGGGCUCCCUCUGCUCCAGAACCACAGAAGGCUGGGAACCGCACCCCGAAACGACGCUGCUCUUCUCCGAUCACGUUUCUCGCUCACCCUCACGUAGUGGACUCAGAACAGGCGACGCCCGGAGUGCGCGGCGAGAGGUUGAAGUGGAGAGGUGCUGGGCCGUAGCGCUCGGCCCCCCUCAGCUGUAGGGCUGUAGGGUCUGUGCCCCGCGACACCCCGAAGCGUGACUGCUAACCGGGUGCUGGAUCGGCCUCUGGGGAGGGGCCCGGCUGGGCAGGGAGCUGGCGGCACCGGUGGCCCUGGGCCUGCCCUGCCGAGUGUAGACCGCCCCGUCCGGGGCCCAGCGGGGGUGCUCCCGUGGGGACGGGAGGGGCCGGCUUGGGGCAGACCCUGCCAUCCAGAUGGUCCCUGCCGCCCUUUGCCGGCGCGACUGGAGCCUCCUUGUAUCUUGGUGGUUUGUGGUCACACGUUGGCUCCCCCGGCAGUGACGGAUGUCCGCGGGGCCAGGGACUGUGCAGGGGGCCCUGGGUUGGGAUUUUGUCCUGUUGCGUCAGCAGGGGGUUGACCUGCCGGGCUCACCCGGGCGCCCACCCUGGGGCAGCUGCUGAGCCCCAUCUUCCCCAAAGGCAGGAGGCCCCCGGGACCUGCGGUGUCGAUGGCGCGGUGCCCUGCACUCAAUUUUGGGGAAGAUGAGAAAGGGGGAUCGGAGGCCAGGCACCCUCUGGGGGGGGCCUCUCUGACCCUGCCGCCCCCCUCCGGCCCCAGCUGCUGCGGCUGGGUCCCCGGCCCUGGGACCAGGGCAGGAGUCGGGUGUGCCGCCCACAGCCGCUUGGCCCCGCACGGGAGCUGCUCGACCCCCACCUCCACCUGAACAAAGCUGCCCCAUUGCGGCCCCCCAGACGCCCCCUGCCUUGACCCCGGCUGGGGACAGCCAAGGGCCCAGAGCCAGAGCCGCCUUCUGGAGCCAGAGUCGAGUCACGGUGGCAGGGCCUGGGGCAGACAUCGCUGUCACAGCACACCUGGCUUUGGGAGCCAGAGGUGGCCGCUGCCCCCCGAGCCUCUGAGCUGCGGCCGGUCUGCACACGUCGGCCAGGAGAGACUGGCACGCCUGGGGGAGCUCGCGGGGUGGGAAGGGCCUUGAACGCCGGGCUCGUCGCGCUCCACAUCAGAAGAAGCUCAUGGGCCACGGGGCCAAGCAGGAUCCUUCUGUCCCCGCGCAGACGUGGAAGCCGUGCGCCAAUAAGUCGGCCGCUCUCCCUAGUUUAUCCUUUAAAAAUUCCGUCCGAGUUAUCUCAGUGUCUUAGAAAACACAGGGAGGGGCCCCCAGCCCAUGUGCCCCCCAGCUGCCGUGGACACCAGCCCAGCUGUGCCAGAGGCGACCCCUGCCCCAGGAACCCCUUUGCCAGCGUCCAGCUGAAGCCGACCGUGACCAAUGACAGGUCUGCACCCCUCCUCAGCUGACGGCCAGGCCCCCACCGCUGCCCGCUGGGCCCCUGCUCCCCACCCGCACGCAGACCCUCUUUUGU
Molecule: RNA transcript, 3698 nt
Organism: Canis lupus familiaris (dog)
Lineage: Eukaryota; Metazoa; Chordata; Mammalia; Carnivora; Canidae
Gene: BAIAP2
Gene name: BAR/IMD domain containing adaptor protein 2
Exons: 16
Source: RefSeq, a predicted model, not a curated record